RNAcentral lists this ribosomal RNA (774 nucleotides) under uncultured Neocallimastigales. RNAcentral describes it as "partial large subunit ribosomal RNA". It matches the Rfam family "Eukaryotic large subunit ribosomal RNA", at positions 18 to 644 of the family's 3401-position model. The record is from RNAcentral. Lineage: Eukaryota; Fungi; Neocallimastigomycota; Neocallimastigomycetes; Neocallimastigales.
UCAGACGAUGCGUCAUGCAUAUCAAUAAGCGGAGGAAAAGAAACUAACAAGGAUUCCCCUAGUAACGGCGAGUGAAGCGGGAAGAGCUCAAAUUUGAAAUCUUAAAGGGUUUCCCUUUACGAAUUGUAGUUUAAAGAAGUGUUUUCUGUUGAGGUUUUGGUAAAAGUUCUUUGGAAUAGGACAUCAUAGAGGGUGAGAAUCCCGUAUUUGACCUUUACUUUCAACUUUGUGAUUCACUUUCAAAGAGUCGGAUUGUUUGGGAAUGCAGUCCAAAAUGGGUGGUAAAUUUCAUCUAAAGCUAAAUAUUGGCGAGAGACCGAUAGCGAACAAGUACCGUGAGGGAAAGAUGAAAAGAACUUUGAAAAGAGAGUUAAACAGUACGUGAAAUUGUCAAAAGGGAAGCGUUUGACACCAGUGUUGUUUUUCUGAAAAUCAAUUAAAGAACUGUUUAUGCUAAGCUGUUUAGACUUUAUCAGCUAACUGUUUAGUUUUGAGCUUUUCUUUAAUGCACUUUUCAGUUAACAAGUCAACAUCAAUUUCUUUUGCUGUAAAAAAGCUUGAGGAAGGUGGCUUGAGAUUCGUCUUAAGUGUUUAUAGCCUCUUGCCUAUGCAGUCGGAGAGAUUGAGGUCUGCAGCGUAGAUCCUUCGGGGCUAAAUGCAUUUGUGCUAAGUUAUAGCAUUUCAUAGACAACUUGUUGACUAUGAUUUGUCUUGUAGCUUACUCGCUUAUGUUAUUUUACCUACGCUUAGGAUGUUGAAUCUGUGCGAGACUAC